GUAUAAGAGACAGCAGUCGCCACGGGAAUACGUAGGUGGCAAGCGUUGUCCGGAAUUAUUGGGCGUAAAGCGCGCGCAGGUGGUUUAAUAAGUCUGAUGUGAAAGCCCACGGCUCAACCGUGGAGGGUCAUUGGAAACUGUUAAACUUGAGUGCAGGAGAGAAAAGUGGAAUUCCUAGUGUAGCGGUGAAAUGCGUAGAGAUUAGGAGGAACACCAGUGGCGAAGGCGGCUUUUUGGCCUGUAACUGACGCCGAGGCGCGAAAGUCAGGGGAGCGAACGGGAUUAGAUACCCGGGUAGUCCCUGUCUCUUAUAC
Molecule: ribosomal RNA, 314 nt
Filed under: uncultured bacterium
Lineage: Bacteria
Description: partial 16S ribosomal RNA
Rfam family: Bacterial small subunit ribosomal RNA
Source: RNAcentral